Molecule: long non-coding RNA, 635 nt
Organism: Carassius gibelio (silver crucian carp)
Lineage: Eukaryota; Metazoa; Chordata; Actinopteri; Cypriniformes; Cyprinidae
Exons: 4
Source: RefSeq, a predicted model, not a curated record
CGACACUCGACACUCACAUGAUGUGAGUCACAUCAAAGACAGAGUUAACUGCAUAGACAUCAUUAACCUACCAAGAAUGCAUAUCAGAUGUGUACGGUCUGCAGGACACAGGAUACGGGCCGCUUGCUCUCACUGGGGUCCGUGUGUCAGCUGAGAGCAGAGGGACGGUGCCCAAUAAAUCAAAAUACAUUUAACAUGCAGGAGGCAGCUGUUACCUGUCCAUCAGCUGCAUUAGCAUACCAGUUUGCAGCAUAAAGCCAAUAUGAAAGGAAACUUAAAAUGGCAUCCAAACAAAAUAAGACUUUGAACAAUUGUAAGGCAAAACUAUAAAUCCAGAUGGCAUGCUGGAUCAACCCGAGCCGAUGAAAAAUAACAGUGGAGGGCCGAAAAGGCUGGGAAAAAAAUAAAUGUAUGAAGGUGGUGAUAGAAUAAGAAUUUCACACCUACAGUACCUACCACACAUGGCUUUCACACAUCAGAUAGGGCUUGGAGAGAAAGCCCAGAUGAACACAAAUCUAGAUGUACCAUUUUAGUAUACGUGACAUUAGCUAAUGUUAUUGUCUUAUGCUUUUCACUGUAAUAUCUGUAUCUUCCGGUUUCAUAUUAAACCCUGAACAAUGCAUCCAAACAAAGAA